RNAcentral lists this long non-coding RNA (487 nucleotides) under Linum usitatissimum (flax). Its description in RNAcentral is "long non-coding RNA (LUSI_LNC006366)". The record is from RNAcentral. Lineage: Eukaryota; Viridiplantae; Streptophyta; Magnoliopsida; Malpighiales; Linaceae.
UUCAAGUCAUACCUAUUGCAUGCAAACGCACAAGACUGUUAAGGUGACACGUGUUGAAACAGCCAGCAAUAACCGACUCCAAGAUUUCGAAAACAGAGGACCAGAGCGAGCCAGAGGUCAGAAGUUUGUUUCUGUAAAUAAAACUGAAUUUUCGUACCUCCCAAUCCAAAUUCUGACAGAUGGAUCCACGCAUGGAAGCCACACCCCACACGCGUUAGUCAGAGUCGGGAGACCUUUCCUUCAUUGAUUGGUGGGUUUGGGUUUCAAGACCAAAGUGGGGGAAUCAAUCCAGUAGUAGUAAUAAUCUGAAUUAUCACUGGGUGGGAGUUGUCCUGACUUUAUCCGUGUGUGUGAAUCAAUGGAUGAGACUCGACUCUUUUCUUUUACAACUGCUGUUUCAGUUAUCUCUUUUACCUUCCUUCUUUGCGUUAAAUGAGGCAGAGAGAGACAGAGAGAGACAGAGAGAGGAAGGCCAUAUCCAGUGUAC